This 495-nucleotide ribosomal RNA is filed under the name uncultured bacterium. RNAcentral describes it as "partial 16S ribosomal RNA". It matches the Rfam family "Bacterial small subunit ribosomal RNA", at positions 28 to 505 of the family's 1533-position model. The record is from RNAcentral.
GAUGAACGCUGGCGGCGUGCCUAAUACAUGCAAGUCGAGCGAACAGACGAGGAGCUUGCUCCUCUGACGUUAGCGGCGGACGGGUGAGUAACACGUGGAUAACCUACCUAUAAGACUGGGAUAACUUCGGGAAACCGGAGCUAAUACCGGAUAAUAUGUUGAAUCGCAUGGUUCAACAGUGAAAGACGGUCUUGCUGUCACUUAUAGAUGGAUCCGCGCCGCAUUAGCUAGUUGGUAAGGUAACGGCUUACCAAGGCAACGAUGCGUAGCCGACCUGAGAGGGUGAUCGGCCACACUGGAACUGAGACACGGUCCAGACUCCUACGGGAGGCAGCAGUAGGGAAUCUUCCGCAAUGGGCGAAAGCCUGACGGAGCAACGCCGCGUGAGUGAAGAAGGUCUUCGGAUCGUAAAACUCUGUUAUUAGGGAAGAACAAAUGUGUAAGUAACUAUGCACGUCUUGACGGUACCUAAUCAGAAAGCCACGGCUAACUACG